GACGAACGCUGGCGGCGUGGAUUAGGCAUGCAAGUCGGACGGUAGAGCUUUAUCGUAAGAUAGAGUUUGAGAGUGGCGAACGGGUGAGUAACACGUAGGAAUCUACCCUUAAGACGGGGACAACCCAGGGAAACUUGGGCUAAUACCGGAUGAGAGUGCGAGAGAUUGCAUUUAAAAGGAUGGCGAAAGUUGUCGCUUAGGGAUGAGCCUGCGGUCUAUUAGUUAGUUGGUGAGGUAAGAGCUCACCAAGGCGAUGAUAGAUAGGCGGCCUUAACGGGUGGUCGCCCACACUGGGAUUGAGAUACGGCCCAGACUCCUACGGGAGGCAGCAGUCGAGAAUAGUCUACAAUGGCCGGAAGGCUGAUAGUGCGACGCCGCGUGAACGAGGGAGCCUUCGGGUGUAAAGUUCUUUUCUAUACGAGCAGUGCUAUAUAUAUGGAUAGUAUAUAUAGAGGGAUAGUAGUAUAGGAAUAAGCAACGGCUAACUCCGUGCCAGCAGCCG
This 502-nucleotide ribosomal RNA is filed under the name uncultured bacterium. Its description in RNAcentral is "bacterial SSU rRNA". It matches the Rfam family "Bacterial small subunit ribosomal RNA", at positions 28 to 517 of the family's 1533-position model. The record is from RNAcentral.